GUCCUUUUCGUCUAGUGGUUAGGACACCGCCCUUUCACGGCGGCAACACGGGUUCAAAUCCCGUAAAGGAUA
Molecule: transfer RNA, 72 nt
Filed under: Heterosigma akashiwo
Lineage: Eukaryota; Raphidophyceae; Chattonellales; Chattonellaceae
Description: tRNA-GLU
Rfam family: tRNA
About the family: Transfer RNA (tRNA) molecules are approximately 80 nucleotides in length. Their secondary structure includes four short double-helical elements and three loops (D, anti-codon, and T loops).
Source: RNAcentral